Molecule: ribosomal RNA, 502 nt
Filed under: uncultured bacterium
Lineage: Bacteria
Description: partial 16S ribosomal RNA
Rfam family: Bacterial small subunit ribosomal RNA
Source: RNAcentral
GAUGAACGCUGGCGGCGUGCCUAACACAUGCAAGUCGAGCGGCAGCGAGUUUUACACUGAAUUCUGGAAGCUUCUAGUUGAAAGAGAAGAUUUAUUCAAGAAUUUUGUGUAAAAUGUCGGCGAGCGGCGGACGGCUGAGUAACGCGUGGGAACGUACCCCAAAGUGAGGGAUAACGCAUCGAAAGGUGUGCUAAUACCGCAUAUGGUCUUCGGAUUAAAGCCUUCGGGCGCUUUGGGAACGGCCUGCGUAAGAUUAGAUAGUUGGUGGGGUAAUGGCCUACCAAGUCGACGAUCUUUAACUGGUUUGAGAGGAUGAUCAGUCAGACUGGAACUGAGACACGGUCCAGACUCCUACGGGAGGCAGCAGUGAGGAAUCUUCCACAAUGGGCGAAAGCCUGAUGGAGCAACGCCGCGUGCAGGAUGAAGGCCUUCGGGUUGUAAACUGCUUUUAUAAGUGAGGAUUAUGACAGUAACUUAUGAAUAAGGAUCGGCUAACUACGUG